AUGUGCCCCGCUCGCCUCCAGGACCGCCAAGUCCUACGGCGUCUCCUGCAGCCCCUGCUCUCUGGUUCCCCCUCCUGGAGCCACGUGUCCUGUCCAGCGCCCUCCCCCAGGGAGCUCCCCCGGGGACGCCCCGCGUCUGCUCCCAGAGCCCCUCAGGACUGCAGCUGCUGGUCCUGCCCACCCACCGCCUGCAGCUUCCCCCCUCUUCUCCCUCGCUGUCCUCUGGGUCCCUCUGCUGCAGACACACUGGUCUCCUCAUGGCACCUGGACCAUGCCAGGUACACUGUCCACUCAGACAACCAAAAGGGGGACCCAGUGACCACUGUCCCCGCCAGAGACAGCAGUGCCAGGGCCCCGAGAGAGGGCCCUCACCCUCCAAGGGGAGCAGGAGGGGCGGGGCCUCACCCCCGGCUGACCUCCCGGGCCACCCGCCCAUCCACAGUGCUCCUCAGGCUGUCAGGGAGCCCCGAGGCCUGUCCUGGGUCUCACGACCUCGCCUGUAAGGGCCCUGGUGCCAUGGCCGUCCAGGAGGACGCUGGGGUUUCACGGGGCACCUCCUGCCAGCCCCGCCCUGCUGGACACCAGGCAGGCACGACCGACUACGAGAGCCAGGUCUGCCGCCGGGACACGGGCUGCGGGAGCCCCGUCUUCUGCCCGCAGCAGGCCCGGUGCCCCGGGGGGCAGAGGGCUGCCCAGGGGCCUCAGGGUCCAUGUGGUCUGACACUCUCCGUGCAGAGCAAACAGGCCCCUCCAGCCAGCAAGAUGGGGGGCAGAGCCGGGGCGGGGCACAAAGGACCGCGUGCCCAGCGUGUUGCGAGGGUCAACACACCGGAGAGGCCUCAGUGGCAGGCCGGCCCGUCCUCACCAUGCGCUUGGGGAAGCGCACCAGCCCUGCUGGAGCCUGGCAGCUUCAGAGUCCCUCCCCUGCACACGGCACCUCCUGCUUGCCACCACCCCAUCAGUGGGGGCCACCACCCCCAUCAUUUUGCAGGAAAAGGACUCGGGCUCCUGGUGUUGAAGUAA
Molecule: long non-coding RNA, 1023 nt
Filed under: Capra hircus (goat)
Lineage: Eukaryota; Metazoa; Chordata; Mammalia; Artiodactyla; Bovidae
Description: lncRNA (ENSCHIG00010029297.1)
Source: RNAcentral